RNAcentral lists this long non-coding RNA (5680 nucleotides) under Sus scrofa (pig). RNAcentral's name for it is "lncRNA (ENSSSCG00000054744.1)". The record is from RNAcentral. Lineage: Eukaryota; Metazoa; Chordata; Mammalia; Artiodactyla; Suidae.
ACUAGAAAGCAGAGCACACUCAGACCCAGCCCCACAGAAGGACAGAGAUGCAUCCUGAGGGAUUUGGUGAAGGCGGAUUAACAAACAUCACUGAGGAAGUGGUUGCAAAGAAAAAGAUGAGAUGUCCCAGAGGGAGUGACAUCCGGCAAGACUUCACAUUAAAUGAACUCUGGAAAAUAUUUCACAACACUAAAGAGGAAAGGCUAAAAUGCUGGAAGCUGAUCCACAAAGGCAAGCACUCUUCAAACUAAUCUUGGUGUUGCAGCUGAACAAAACACUUUUUCGAUUUUUAAUAUUUCUAAUGUUUUAAAUCGCAUGUGCUAUAAAUUUGAGUUUCACUUAUUUUUUUCACCUCCCAACACAUUAAUAACCAACCUACUUAAAAUGUUGAAUGUUUUGACAACAAAUUUUACAGGUCACAGAACACUGUAAUUUUUCCCACUGAUUUGCAAGAUCGCUUUAGAUGGUUUUAGUGUGUGUGGUCUUGCACUAUCAUGCACAGCAAGGACCAACUAUAUUUCUUAUUCCUCAUUAAAAAGUUAAUACAAGUAUGGAGUUCCAGUUGUGGCUCAGCAGAAAUGAAUCCGACUAGGACCAUGAGGUUGCAGGUUCCAUCCCUGGCCUCGCCCAGUGGGUUGGGGAUCCAGCGUUGCCGUGAGCUAUGGUGUAGGUCGCAGACAAGGUUCGGAUCUGGCAUUGCUGUGGCUCUGGUGUAGGCCGGCAGCUACAGCUCCUAUGAGACCCCCAGCCUGGGAACCUACAUAUGCCACGGGUGCGGCCAUAAAAAAAAAAAAGACAAAAAAAAAAAAAAAGUUAAUACAAGUACCGAAAACAGCAUCUGUCACACAGUUAGGGCUCAAUAAGUGUCUCGUGUUAUUCCAAAGGCAUUACAUACUGCUAAUCUUUUUUAGUGCAUAAAGUUUUCCUUAAUGUCCAUAUUUGCUGCUCUUUUUCUCUCCUUCCAUUCUCUCUUGAAACCAUUCCAAUCAGGCUUUUGUCCACACCCCUCCACCAAAAUUGCUCUCCUCAAAGUCACCAAUCACUGCUGAAUGGCUAAAUCCAACAGUAGCUAUAAAUUUGACUUAAUAUACUUGACAGUAGCAUUUAAUUCAAUUGAUUACAAACUACUUUGGCUUCUAAAGACCACACUCUCCUGGUUCCUUCCUACCCUGAAGGCAGACCCUUUUCAAUUUCCCUUGCUAGUAUUCGCCCUCCCUCUCUCCCUCUCUCUCUUUCUCACUCACACACACACACACACACACACACACACACCCCUUAUCAAAGCCAUCAGAAUAUUCUGUCAACCUGUUACCUUCUAGUCAUUAGAAUUACCCCUAUUUUACAGAUGAAGAAACUGAGCCACAGAAAAGUUACAUACUUGUCCAAAGUCACACAACUAAUUAGUUGCAGAACUGAGAACUGACUAAUACCCAGGUAGGCUAGCCUUAAGACUUUUAAAAUUGGAAAUUUCGACAUCAAGGGUCCCUGCGUGUCCCACCCCCCCCACCAAAAAAAACUGAGGUCUAAUUUCAAGAGUGCUUUUGAUAAAGACAAAAAUAAUCAUCUUUCUAACAGUUUCUUCCAACUAGACAAUUCAGAAAGUAAAUUUAACAUAAAACAUAGCUUUGUAAACCAAAAUAAACCUUUGUAAACCAAAACACAGCUUUAACAGUCUGUAAUGGAAUUUCCCUGUUUUAUAAUCUUUGUGUUUGUAUAUACUUUUAAAAAAUUAGAACCAUAUUUUGCUUUUUUAAUUUUUUAACUCAAAUGUAUCAUGCUUUACCCAUUAUAACAGUGUCCUCAAUAAAAUUAAACUUCAAUUUUUUUGGAAACCCUAAGGACUGGGAGUAAGAAAAUUUGCCAUUUUAAAACUAAGAACUUUUUCUAUUUCUCCAGAAAUAGAGGAUUACUUCACUUUUAACACACUGAUUGUUUUGAAAAAAACACUCUUUGGUUUUGCAAAGAUGAGGGCAAGAGCCUAUUCUGAAAAAGGAAAUACUGAGAAAAUGAAAAGCUAAUUGAUGAGUAAAGAGUCAAGAAAACUGGAUAGAUUUGAUCGAAUCAAAUCCAAUUUAAUCACUGUCCCAAGACUGACUUAAGGAAAGCAGUACUUUGGGAGGCCUUCAGAAAAAUAUGAACACCCUUCAUCAUUUCAUAAUAUUUCUUGUCUCAGAGAAGGAAAUGAAAUUAUCAGAUUAGGAUUACUGCCUAUUGUUCUCUGGGCACAGCAAUGCCUGCAUGCCUCUUCCCCAAAAGAUGUUCUACACUUAAAGAUAAGAAAAACAGCACCUCAAAAUUGCUUGCCCAACACCUCUUUGAAGGAGCUUCCAGUGUGGUUCAGUAGGUUAAGAACUCAACAUAGCAUCUGUGAGGUUGCAGGUUUGAUCCCUGGCCUUGCUCAGUCAGUUAAGGAUCCAGCAUUGUAGCAAGCUGCAGCACAGCUCACAGAUGCAGCCUGGAUCCUGCAUUGCUGUGUAGGCCCCAGCUGCAGCUCCAAUUCGAGCCCUAGCCUGGGAACUUCCAUAUGCCAUGGGUGUGGCUGUAAAAAAAAAAAAAAAAGAAAGAAACCAAAAAAUCUCUUUGAAGACUGGAAAUUUAUUAGAAAAUAAAUUUAAAACAACAACAACAACACUUGCCCCUCAUUUCCUAAACAAGGAGAGUCAAUUAUGACAGGAUGACACUAUGGACCCAUUACAUCUGCCACAGAACUAAAAAAAAAAAAAAAAAAAAAAUCCUUACUUGUUCCAUCUGAAACAGAUAGGACAGAGUGUAUAGCACUUCUAGAGUUUGGGGAGGAUCAUGUGUUUGGUUUUGCUUUUAAUAUCAUCCAGUCCCUAGCAAGUAUACAACUUUCUUUCACGUCACCCUGCCCUAGUGAUUUAGCCAAAUAAACUGAUCAUCACAUAAACUGUUUAUUCUGGCUGACAUGAACUAGGUCAAGUUGUUUAGGGGAGAUAAAAGAAGGCUCCCAGUCAACCAGUGGGAACUGGACGUGAGCAGCAGCUGCUGUGGUACCCUGACUGAAAGGGUUUCGUUGACCACAACAGAAUAGAAGGAGGACAGGAGAUUUCAUACUAUAUAUAAAAAUGAACUUAAAACAGAUCAUAAAAUUUACAGAUCUAGAACUCUAAAACUUCUAGAGGAAAACACAGAAUAAGACCUUUCUGCCUUUCUCUAAGCAAAGAUUUCUCUUUUUAAAUGAAAGUACAGUUCAAUUGCAGAUAUAUAGAUGAUAAAUAAGCACAGGAAAAGGUAUUCAACACCAUUAGUCAUUUACAUAAGAGAAUAUGAGAUACCACUAUUGUUAUGUCCGAAUGUUUAUGUCCCCUCAAUAUCCAGGUGUUGAAAUCCUAACCCCCAGGUGAUGGUAUUAGAAGGUAGGGCCCUUGGGGGGUGCUUAGGUCAUGACGGUAGAGCCCCCAUGAAUGGGAAAAGUGCUCUUUUAAAAGAGAUCCCAAAGAACUGCCUUGCCUCUUAUACCACAUGAAAUUACGGUGGAAAUACAGCCAUCUAUGAACCCGGUAACAAGUCCUCACUGGAACCCAACCUUGCAGAAGACUUGAUCUUAGACUCUCCAGGCUCCACAAUUGUGAGAAAUUUCUUUUGUUUAUAGGCUACCAGGUCUAUAGUAUUUUAUCAUAGCAGCCCAAACAUAUUAGGAUAACCAUACAUCUACUAGAAUGUCAAAAUGAUAAAGACUCACCAUAACAAAUACCGGAGAGGAUGUGGAACAACUGGUACCCUCUGACACAGCUCGUGGGAAUGGAAAAUGGGACAAUACCUUUGAAAAACAGUUUGGCAGUUUCUUGAACUAUUAAAUAUACACUUAACCACAUGAACCAAAUUCCUAGGUAUUCACCCAAGAAAAACAAAAGCAUCUGUCCAUACAAAGACUUGUUCAGGAAUGUUUAUAGUGUCUUUAUUUGUAAUAGCCCAAAACUGCAAACAACCAAGUGUCCAUCAAAAGGUGAAUGGGAUAAACACAUCGAAGCAUAGCCAUACAAUGGAACACCAUCUAUCAAUAAAAAGGGAUGAACUGCUGAUACAUGCAACAGCAUGGGUGAGCCACAAAAUUAACAUCCCAAGCCAAAGAAAAAAUACCCCACAAAGAUAUAUAUGGUAUGAGCUCACUGACACAAAACUGCAGAAGAUGCAAACUAAUCUACAGUGACAGAAGGCAGAUCAAAGGUUGAUUAGGAUUGGAGGAAGGACCAGCAAGGGAGUGGAAGGAAGAAUUAUACACUAUAAAGGAAGGAGAAAGCUUGGACAACACCACAGACAUAGCAACGCAGGAUCCGAGCUGCGUCUGACCAAACCACAGCUCUUGGCAAUGCCAGAUCCAUAACCCACCGAGCAAGGCCAGGGAUCUAACCUGUGUCCUCAUGGAUGCUGGUCAGAUUCAUUAACUGCAGAGCCAUGAUGGGAACUCUGAUAUGUUCAUUAUAUUGACCGAGGUAAAGAUUUCACAGGUAUAGACAUAUAUCAAAUUUAUGAAAUUAUAUAUAUAUUAUUAAAUUAAAAUUUGUACAAUUUAUUGUAUAUCAACUUUACUUCAAUAAGGCUGUUUACAAAAAAACCUACUAUUAUAUUUCAAUUACUUCCUACAUGUCCAACAAUCGCUUUAUAUAUUUCAGAGUUAUAUUAUUUAGUGUCCAAAGUUUCACAACAAAAAUAUUUCCACUGGGAAUUAUACCAUUCCUUAAAGAAAAAAAAAAAAAAUCCUCCUUAUAAAAAUCUUACCUUGAAUUUUACUUAGGCUAGUAUUAAUGUAAUAGCUCCUCUCUGUAAUGCUUACAUUUGUCUCCCUUUGGCCUGGCCUCCCCAUUAGAUAGAUUACAUUGGGCAAGCCCCUUAUCUGUCUCAAGGGUGGCCGUGAUGGUUAAAUGAGUUAAUAUUUGUUAAAUUACUUAAAACAGAGUUUCUCAACCUUGGCAUUAUCUACAUUUCAGGCCUGAUAAUUCUCUGCCGUGAGGGUGGUCCUGUGCAUUUUAGCAUGUUUGGUAGAAUCCUCAGUCUCCACAAACCAGAUGUUAGCAGCAGCUUCUUCCCAGUUGUGACAACCAAAAAUAUCCUGGGAGGUUUCCAAAUGUCCCAAGGGGCGGGGGGGGGGGGCAAAAUCACCCCAACUGAGAACCACUAAUAUAAAACAAUGCCUGGAAUACACUAAAGGCUGUGUAUUUGUUAAAUAAUUGUACUGUGGCUUUGGCUGUGGCCUUUCUUCUUCCUAAGGCCACAGCUACCAUGCCAUGGAAAAGCCCAGCCGUAUCAGAAAGAAGCCCCAUUGCUCACAUACUGCUACUUGAUGUGGCCAUAUUUCUCCUGAGGCCCUUUGUAUUAACUGCUUUAGACGCUGUUGAUUCACAUCACGGAAGUUUUACCUUUUGUCCCAACGCCAUCCCCUCACCUCUAGCUCUCACCCCUCGAAAUAAGGACUAUCAGUGGGGAAUCUCCCAUAAUCUCCCUCGUCAUUUCAUGUGAUUCUACUGAUUUAAAAAGCAAUAUUAUAGGCCAGUUCUAAUGAUUUCUUUCAACAUAGCUCCUCCUAUAUUAUAGUUAGUAAAUAGUCUCUAGUAUUGAGGCAUAUAGAUGAUUUUCUUCCCUAUUUCCAGAGCUCUUUUGGAUUUGUUCUAUUUCAGGGUCAUCUUAAGUCAGUUUUGUGAAUGUGAGGAAGCCUGUGCCA